UGCCAGAAUUGUGUUCAGUUUCACCACCCUCCUCAGGUGGGAGUUAACCCUCGUGGUCUGAUUCCACUAAAACUCUGACAGAUGGAUGUCACACACAUAUCUCAAUUUGGAAAUUUAAAAUAUACACAUGUUUCUGUUGAUACCUGUUCUGGCAUUAUACAUGCCACUCUGAUGACUGGUGAAAAGGCUCGUAAUGCCAUUAGUCAUUGCUUAGAGGCGUGGACAGCCUGGGGAAAGCCUGACAGCCUCAAGACAGACAACGGACCUACCUACACUACAAAGUCUUUUCAGACAUUUUGCCAAACAAUGCAGGUCAAACAUACUACAGGAUUGCCAUACAAUCCCCAAGGUCAAGGAAUUGUAGAAAGAACACAUCGUACUUUAAAAGAGCUCUUACAAAAACAAAAAGGGGGAAUUGCCUAUGGCAAAACACCAAGAGAACAGUUGUCUUUAGCUCUUUUUACUCUAAAUUUCUUAAUUUUGGAUAUGCAUGGCCGCUCUGCUGCGGAUCACCAUGCUGCUACUAAACCUAUGACUAUUCAAAUACAGACAGCUGAGACUAUCAAUCAGAUUGUAGAAAGAACCGCAGUGGCAUUAGAGAUACAAGAAGAAUUUAAUGCCCACUUGGCAUCUGGCUUUCUAUUAGCUAACCAACGAAUAGAUUUGAUUCAAGAACAAAUUGAGGCAUUAUAUCAUAUGACGCAGCUGUCCUGUGUUUCCUCCUUUAGAGGCUUAUGUGUUACUCCAUUGAAAGCUAACUUUUCUCAGUAUUCUCAACAGAGCAAAGAAAUCUCUAAUUAUUUGAAAGGAAACUGGUCCAUGGAAGCGGAACAAUUAUCGAGACAAUUGCUGAUGCAGAUUGCUGUCCUUAACAACACCAGAAUGGAACCCAUCUCGAUUGGGGAUUUCACCUCGUGGAUCACCAAUGCUUUCUCAUUUUUCAAAGAAUGGGCUGGCAUGUUUACCUGGGGGGCCAUUGUCCUCUUGGGAUGUGGAGUAUGUCUAUGGCUUUUUUGCCGUUUAAAACGAGAACAUGCUAGACACAAAGCGAUUGUUUACCAAGCUAUGGCGGCCAUUGAAAGCGGUGCUUCUCCCAGUGUAUGGCUGGCCUCUCUGAUAGAUUGAGAGUUCGCCCUAGAUCAUAUUUUGUCACUGUCAUGUGAAGUCAUUGUAUCCAGAGACGGGCAACUUUCCUCAGGCUCGGACCAACCUAAGACAGGAGCCCGGUGGCGAUAGGGUUAAUUUCCAGUGACGGGUAAGGCCGAGUUUUUAAAGAGGAACGACCUAAGACAGGAGCAAUGACGUGUAUUGACGUGACACCCAGAUCUAGACCAGUCAUAGACAGAGGUGGCCUUGCCCUGUUUGAACAUUCGGGCUGGUCCUUGCCCCUCUACUCUGCUUCUCCCCUAAUAUUAAACACACACGUAUAGCCCAGGACGGUGUGUUGUACAUAAGUCAUCUCUAGCCAUUGGGGUGCAGUCCUAACUGCAAGAGUGGUUCGCCAUGGCCGAGCUGGGCACUCUGUGAGGCAUGUCUGACCUCUCUCAGACCACAACCUCCACCUAAUGGGUUCAUUUUUAAAAAAAACAAAAAAGAGGGAGAUGUAGGGAGCGGCUAAAGAUGGCGCCGACAUCCGGUGGUCGUUUGUGGUAAACACCUACAGCGCAUGUGUUGGCAGACCCCCAGCACCUACAAGGCCAGGGUGAUAUUCAUGCUAAAUAGGUAUUUCAUGCUCCACCAAUCCCCAGUGGACAAAUUUACAGCCACAGCCUGUCUUGUAUUUAAGGCGAGUGCCAUUGUUCCCCGGGGUCCCCAUACUAUCAAUUAGGUGUUCCUGCAAUAAAGGCUGAUUGAGAAGG
Molecule: long non-coding RNA, 1859 nt
Filed under: Rattus norvegicus (Norway rat)
Lineage: Eukaryota; Metazoa; Chordata; Mammalia; Rodentia; Muridae
Description: long non-coding RNA NONRATT030625
Source: RNAcentral